Molecule: transfer RNA, 80 nt
Filed under: Bacillota bacterium
Lineage: Bacteria; Bacillati; Bacillota
Also listed under: 2 other names
Description: tRNA-Leu
Rfam family: tRNA
About the family: Transfer RNA (tRNA) molecules are approximately 80 nucleotides in length. Their secondary structure includes four short double-helical elements and three loops (D, anti-codon, and T loops).
Source: RNAcentral
GCGGAUAUGGCGGAAUUGGCAGACGCGGCGGUUUUAGGUGCCGCUGGGCGACCGUGCAGGUUCGAGUCCUGUUAUCCGCA